UUUGAGUCCUUAACAGGAUUCUUAACAGGCAUUGCAAGUUUACUUUGAACAAAUCAGAGUGCUUCAAACAGGCGUUUUCGCUUGAAUGAUCGUGCAUGGAAUAAUAGAAAAUGAUUUCGGUUCAGUUUUAUUGGUUUUACGGACUGAGAUAAUGGUUAACAGAGACAAACGGGGGCAUUUGUAUGGUCCCGUGAGAGGUGAAAUUCUUGGACCGUGGCCAGACAAACUACAGCGAAAGCAUUUGCCAAGAAUGUUUUUAUUAAUCAAGAACGAAAGUCAGAGGUUCGAAGGCGAUCAGAUACCGCCCUAGUUCUGACCGUAAACGAUGCCAACUAGCGAUCCGCCGAUGGAAAUUAUAUUGCCUUGGUGGGGAGCUUCCCGGAAACGAAAGUCUUCCGGUUCCGGGGAAGUAUGGUUGCAAAGCUGAAACUUAAAGGAAUUGACGGAAGGGCACCACCAGGAGUGGAGCCUGCGGCUUAAUUUGACUCAACACGGGGAAACUCACCCGGCCCGGACACUGUGAGGAUUGACAGAUUGAUAGCUUUUUCAUGAUUCAGUGGAUGGUGGUGCAUGGCCGUUCUUAGUUCGUGGAGUGAUUUGUCUGGUUUAUUCCGAUAACGAGCGAGACUCUAACCUACUAAAUAGUUGGUACAUACUCUUAGUGUAUACAGCUUCUUAGAGGGAUUUGCGGCGUUCAGCCGAAAGAAAUUGAGCAAUAACAGGUCUGUGAUGCCCUUAGAUGUCCGGGGCUGCACGCGCGCUACACUGGCAAAAUCAACGUGCUUGUCCUACCCUGAAAGGGGCGGGUAAACCAUUGAAAAUUUGCCGUGAUUGGGAUCGGAAAUUGCAAUUAUUUUCCGUGAACGAGGAAUUCCAAGUAAGUGCGAGUCAUCAGCUCGCGUUGAUUACGUCCCUGCCCUUUGUACACACCGCCCGUCGCUGCCCGGGACUGAGCCAUUUCGAGAAAUUUGGGGACCGUUGAUUUAAUUUUUCUAAAUUACUUUGAUGGAAACCAAUUUAAUCGCAGUGGCUUGAACCGGGCAAAAGUCGUAACAAGGUAGCUGUAGGUGAACCUGCUGCUG
This 1082-nucleotide ribosomal RNA is filed under the name Meloidogyne arenaria. Its description in RNAcentral is "SSU rRNA". It matches the Rfam family "Eukaryotic small subunit ribosomal RNA", at positions 713 to 1823 of the family's 1831-position model. Lineage: Eukaryota; Metazoa; Nematoda; Chromadorea; Rhabditida; Meloidogynidae. The record is from RNAcentral.